AAUGAACGCUGGCGGUGUGCCUAAUACAUGCAAGUCGAGCGAACGGACAGUAAGCUUUUUCUUCUGCCGUUAGCGGCUGACGGGCGAGUGACACGUGCAUCACCUUCCUCUAUUUCUGGGGUAACUUCGGGAAGCCGGUGCUGAUACUGGAUCAUAUAUUGUACCGCUUGAAUCAAUAGUUCUUGGCACUUUUCCUGUCUCUUAUAGCUGGUUCCGCGCCGCAUUAGCUAGUUGGUAAGGUAACGGCUUACCAAGGCAACGAUGCGUAGCCGAGCUGAGAGGGUGAUCAGCCACACUGGAACUGAGACACGGUCCAGACUCCUACGGGAGGCAGCAGUAGGGAAUCUUCGACAAUGGGCGAAAGCUUGACGGAGCAACGCCGCGUGAGUGAUGAAGGUCUUCGGAUCGUAAAGCCCUGUUAUUGGGAAAGAACAAAUGUGGAAUAAACUAUGGACGUCUUGACGGUACCUAAACAGAAAGCCACGGCUAACUACGUG
RNAcentral lists this ribosomal RNA (497 nucleotides) under uncultured bacterium. RNAcentral's name for it is "partial 16S ribosomal RNA". It matches the Rfam family "Bacterial small subunit ribosomal RNA", at positions 29 to 507 of the family's 1533-position model. The record is from RNAcentral.